RNAcentral lists this ribosomal RNA (641 nucleotides) under uncultured archaeon. Its description in RNAcentral is "bacterial SSU rRNA". It matches the Rfam family "Archaeal small subunit ribosomal RNA", at positions 218 to 859 of the family's 1478-position model. The record is from RNAcentral.
CGGCCGAUUAGGUAGUUGGUUAGGUAACGGCUUACCAAGCCAUUGAUCGGUACGGGUUGUGAGAGCAAGAGCCCGGAGAUGGAACCUGAGACAAGGUUCCAGGCCCUACGGGGUGCAGCAGGCGCGAAACCUCCGCAAUGUGAGAAAUCGCGACGGGGGGAUCCCAAGUGCCAUUCUUAACGGGAUGGCUUUUCAUUAGUGUAAAGAGCUUUUGGAAUAAGGGCUGGGCAAGACCGGUGCCAGCCGCCGCGGUAACACCGGCAGCUCUAGUGGUAGCAGUUUUUAUUGGGCCUAAAGCGUCCGUAGCCGGUUUAAUAAGUCUCUGGUGAAAUCCUGUAGCUUAACUGUGGGAAUUGCUGGAGAUACUAUUAGACUUGAGACCGGGAGAGGUUAGAGGUACUCCCAGGGUAGAGGUGAAAUUCUGUAAUCCUGGGAGGACCGCCUGUUGCGAAGGCGUCUAACUGGAACGGUUCUGACGGUGAGGGACGAAAGUUAGGGGCGCGAACCGGAUUAGAUACCCGGGUAGUCCUAACUGUAAACGAUGCGGACUUGGUGUUGGGGUGGCUUUGAGCUGCUCCAGUGCCGAAGGGAAGCUGUUAAGUCCGCCGCCUGGGAAGUACGGUCGCAAGACUGAAACUUAA